Molecule: long non-coding RNA, 1630 nt
Filed under: Sus scrofa (pig)
Lineage: Eukaryota; Metazoa; Chordata; Mammalia; Artiodactyla; Suidae
Description: lncRNA (ENSSSCG00015063584.1)
Source: RNAcentral
GCUAUUUCAGCUGCAUAAUUUUUAAAAAAUCUAGUAAGUAUUAUUUUUAAAAUAUUAAGUGUGAGUAGAUCUGUAUAUAUUAGUAUGGAAACAUGUUUAUGACAUAUUUGAAGCUGAAGAAAGACUAGCAUGAUCCCAUUUCUGUUCUUUACAAACCAGCCCACAAAGGGCCGUAUUCAUGUGGAGGAUAGACACACCGAACCAUAAACAGUGAUUACAGCCGGGGAGCUGGAGGGAAGAGCUUUCGCUUUUCUACGUACACUUGUCUUUUCUUUUUCCAUUUUUUUUUAAACGAGUCAGUAUACUUUUGCAAUUAAUUUUAUAUCAGAAAGAAUUCCACUUUAUGCUUCAGGGCAACGUUCCACUUCCCCAACCAUUUCUGAACACUCAGACCAUUCAGUCCCACUGACAGGUCGGCGGGGCAGCAUUGAGGGCGCCCCUCCCAGACUGGCCUGUGUGUUCUGCACUGCCUGGAACAGAGCAGCUCUUUAAGCUCUCAACCGGCUGUAAACAACACCUGCCGAAAAAAGCUCUUAAGACACAAAGGAAUCAUGGAAAGAGAGCGCUGGAGAUAACCUCCUUUUUCCAGUUGGUCUGCAGUGAGAUCCACCCCACCGUUGCACGUUGGGUGAGUCAACUCAACCGGAGGUCCUAUCUGCUCCCUCACCCCCACCGCCCCAGCCCUCGCACCACGCCCCCAUUCAAAGGGCCUGGUGCUCUGAAAAGUACGCUGACCCACCAGCUUUCUUCUCUUUCUGUACAUCUCUGAUUUCAACUUAGAAACACAUUUUUUAUACUCCACAGCUUGCUUCUUAGUUCCAAGAAGUGCUCCCUGCAAGUCUGCUAGGUCUUGCAGAGGCUUUCCCUGGCCCCCGGGACCCCGGCUGAGCUUGACUCCUGGGUGGGCGCCCACCAGGCCCUCUCUACACAGCUCCGGAGCUGAUCCUAUGCCUCUAUCUGUGUGGGCCCCAGAGCAGAGCGCAGCAGGAAGCAACACCUUCUGCUGCAGGUCACACUCACUCCACGGGGGCAGGGUGAUUCAAUACGUGAAAGCAAAAUGUAUGUUCUUCAUCAACAGAUGAGUGGAGAGACAAAGGGAGGGGGUGAUGGACUAUUACUCAGCCUUAAAAAGGAAAGGAAUUCAGACACAUGCCGCAACACAGACAGAUGAACCCUGAAAAAUUGUCAGGGCCUGAGGCGGGAGAACAGGGAGUGUGUUUAACGGGUGCAGGGUUUCAACUUGAUAACGUGCUGGAGGUGGAGAGCAGGUGCACGAGACCGCGAAUGCACUUAAUGCCACUGGACUGGACACCAAAAAUGGUCACAAUGGCAAAUGUUAUUUCUGUGUAUUCUACCACAACAAAAUAAACAGUUGUUGAGAAAACCUGUGCUUAGGAGCUCCUCUGUGGCACACAGGAUCUGUUGUCGUCACCGCAGCAGCUCGGGUUGCUGCUGUGGCUCAGGUUUGAUCCCUGACUCAAGAACUUCCACAUGCCGUGGGCGUGGUCAAAAGCAAAAGACAAAAACACCUGUAUUUAAAGUUGUGAAAACUUAUUUAAAAAAAAAAAAAAAGGAGGAAAAAGGGAAAAAAAAAGAAAUUAACAGGGGCUAGGCAAGAAUCAUGGGAGGG